This 254-nucleotide ribosomal RNA is filed under the name uncultured bacterium. Its description in RNAcentral is "partial 16S ribosomal RNA". It matches the Rfam family "Bacterial small subunit ribosomal RNA", at positions 524 to 776 of the family's 1533-position model. The record is from RNAcentral.
UACGUAGGGAGCAAGCGUUGUUCGGAUUUACUGGGCGUAAAGGGCGCGUAGGCGGCAGAUCAAGUCAGCUGUGAAAUCUCCGAGCUUAACUCGGAACUGUCAGCUGAUACUGUUUUGCUAGAGUGCGGAAGGGGCAAUCGGAAUUCUUGGUGUAGCGGUGAAAUGCGUAGAUAUCAAGAGGAACACCUGAGGUGAAGACGGGUUGCUGGGCCGACACUGACGCUGAGUGCGCGAAAGCGUGGGGAGCGAACAGG